AAAACCCUUGCUGGCCGCUGGGCUGUGGGUGUAAGGCAGGAGUUUUCACCUGCAGGCAGGAAAGCCAGGCAAGAUAUUUGUGUCUUAUCCCGAGGUUGAUUCUGUGGUGCUACGUUUAUCAUAUGUGAUGCUGCACAUAUUAUCACAAACGUGGAGGCCAAGUCUGACUCUGGUCAUGACUCAUGAAUACUGUAUAUCGUGAGUCAACCCCAAGUAACAGGCUGCACUGUGGAGAGAUUGACGGUUUUAUGCUGGAGAUAGGGGUUAAAGCCAGCCCACACUACUGACCCCUCACCCAGAACCUGAAGCAGGCCCCCAGCAGUGCUUUAAUGUGGCCCUGCGGAACAAGAGCCCGGGAGGAAAUGACCAUAGGCCUGUUGAAAGCACGUCUUCAGUGUCUACGUCACCUCAGGGAAACACCUGAGAGGCCUGUGACAUUAAUGUGGCAUGUGUUGUUCUCCACAAUAUUGCAAUUAUUAAAGGGGAGCAACAGCCUGCCCUACAAAUACAAGACCAUGACGAAGACUCCUUCCAUCAUGGUAAUCUGCAGAGUGGAUGGACAGUCAGAUGUGAUAUGCCAUAAUAUCUUAAUCAGCCAUCACCACCACCAAUAAAAGAAACUGAAU
Molecule: long non-coding RNA, 626 nt
Organism: Betta splendens (Siamese fighting fish)
Lineage: Eukaryota; Metazoa; Chordata; Actinopteri; Anabantiformes; Osphronemidae
Exons: 3
Source: RefSeq, a predicted model, not a curated record